This 87-nucleotide transfer RNA is filed under the name Methanobacteriota archaeon. RNAcentral describes it as "Euryarchaeota archaeon (anaerobic digester metagenome) tRNA-Ser". It matches the Rfam family "tRNA". From Rfam's summary of the family: Transfer RNA (tRNA) molecules are approximately 80 nucleotides in length. Their secondary structure includes four short double-helical elements and three loops (D, anti-codon, and T loops). Further hydrogen bonds mediate the characteristic L-shaped molecular structure. tRNAs have two regions of fundamental functional importance: the anti-codon, which is responsible for specific mRNA codon recognition, and the 3' end, to which the tRNAs corresponding amino acid is attached (by aminoacyl-tRNA synthetases). tRNAs cope with the degeneracy of the genetic code in two manners: having more than one tRNA (with a specific anti-codon) for a particular amino acid; and 'wobble' base-pairing, i.e. permitting non-standard base-pairing at the 3rd anti-codon position. RNAcentral also lists the same sequence under 1 other name. The record is from RNAcentral. Lineage: Archaea; Methanobacteriati; Methanobacteriota.
GCGGAGGUGGCCCAGCCUGGCAAGGCGCAGGAUUGCUAAUCCUGUGUCCGCAAGGACUCGGGGGUUCAAAUCCCCCCCUCCGCGCCA